GUCCACGCCCUAAACGAUGUCAACUAGGUGUUGGAUGGGUAAACCAUUUAGUACCGGAGCUAACGCGUGAAGUUGACCGCCUGGGGAGUACGGCCGCAAGGUUAAACUCAAAGGAAUUGACGGGGACCCGCACAAGCGGUGGAUGAUGUGGAUUAAUUCGAUGCAACGCGAAAACCUUACCUACCCUUGACAUGUCAGGAAGUCUUGAGAGAUUGAGAUGUGCCCGAAAGGGAACCUGAACACAGGUGCUGCAUGGCUGUCGU
Molecule: ribosomal RNA, 263 nt
Filed under: uncultured bacterium
Lineage: Bacteria
Description: partial 16S ribosomal RNA
Rfam family: Bacterial small subunit ribosomal RNA
Source: RNAcentral